RNAcentral lists this ribosomal RNA (465 nucleotides) under uncultured bacterium. RNAcentral describes it as "partial 16S ribosomal RNA". It matches the Rfam family "Bacterial small subunit ribosomal RNA", at positions 28 to 507 of the family's 1533-position model. The record is from RNAcentral.
GACGAACGCUGGCGGCGUGCUUAACACAUGCGAGUCGAACGGAAAGGCCCUGCUUGCAGGGUACUCGAGUGGCGAACGGGUGAGUAACACGUGGGUGAUCUGCCCUGCACUUCGGGAUAAGCCUGGGAAACUGGGUCUAAUACCGGAUAGGAGCCAUUUUUAGUGUGAUGGUUGGAAAGUUUUUUCGGUGUAGGAUGAGCUCGCGGCCUAUCAGCUUGUUGGUGGGGUAAUGGCCUACCAAGGCGGCGACGGGUAGCUGGCCUGAGAGGGUGGACGGCCACAUUGGGACUGAGAUACGGCCCAGACUCCUACGGGAGGCAGCAGUGGGGAAUAUUGCACAAUGGGCGCAAGCCUGAUGCAGCGACGCCGCGUGGGGGAUGACGGCCUUCGGGUUGUAAACUCCUUUCGCUAGGGACGAAGCUUUUUGUGACGGUACCUAGAUAAGAAGCACCGGCUAACUACGUG